GUAUAGAACCUACCUUUUACAGAGGGAUAGCCUUUAGAAAUGAAGAUUAAUACCUCAUAGAAUUGAGAAUCGGCAUCGAUUUUCAAUUAAAGAUUUAUCGGUAGAAGAUGGCUAUGCGUCCUAUUAGCUAGAUGGUUUGGUAACGGCAUACCAUGGCGACGAUAGGUAGGGGUCCUGAGAGGGAGAUCCCCCACACUGGUACUGAGACACGGACCAGACUCCUACGGGAGGCAGCAGUGAGGAAUAUUGGGCAAUGGAGGCAACUCUGACCCAGCCAUGCCGCGUGCAGGAAGAAGGUUCUAUGGAUCGUAAACUGCUUUUAUACAGGAAGAAACCUUGGUACGUGUACCAAGCUGACGGUACUGUAAGAAUAAGCACCGGCUAACUCCGUGCCAGCAGCCGCGGUAAUACG
This 412-nucleotide ribosomal RNA is filed under the name uncultured bacterium. RNAcentral describes it as "bacterial SSU rRNA". It matches the Rfam family "Bacterial small subunit ribosomal RNA", at positions 117 to 527 of the family's 1533-position model. The record is from RNAcentral.